Molecule: ribosomal RNA, 1307 nt
Filed under: Lactiplantibacillus plantarum
Lineage: Bacteria; Bacillati; Bacillota; Bacilli; Lactobacillales; Lactobacillaceae
Description: bacterial SSU rRNA
Rfam family: Bacterial small subunit ribosomal RNA
Source: RNAcentral
GAACUGGUGAGUAACACGUGGGAAACCUGCCCAGAAGCGGGGGAUAACACCUGGAAACAGAUGCUAAUACCGCAUAACAACUUGGACCGCAUGGUCCGAGUUUGAAAGAUGGCUUCGGCUAUCACUUUUGGAUGGUCCCGCGGCGUAUUAGCUAGAUGGUGAGGUAACGGCUCACCAUGGCAAUGAUACGUAGCCGACCUGAGAGGGUAAUCGGCCACAUUGGGACUGAGACACGGCCCAAACUCCUACGGGAGGCAGCAGUAGGGAAUCUUCCACAAUGGACGAAAGUCUGAUGGAGCAACGCCGCGUGAGUGAAGAAGGGUUUCGGCUCGUAAAACUCUGUUGUUAAAGAAGAACAUAUCUGAGAGUAACUGUUCAGGUAUUGACGGUAUUUAACCAGAAAGCCACGGCUAACUACGUGCCAGCAGCCGCGGUAAUACGUAGGUGGCAAGCGUUGUCCGGAUUUAUUGGGCGUAAAGCGAGCGCAGGCGGUUUUUUAAGUCUGAUGUGAAAGCCUUCGGCUCAACCGAAGAAGUGCAUCGGAAACUGGGAAACUUGAGUGCAGAAGAGGACAGUGGAACUCCAUGUGUAGCGGUGAAAUGCGUAGAUAUAUGGAAGAACACCAGUGGCGAAGGCGGCUGUCUGGUCUGUAACUGACGCUGAGGCUCGAAAGUAUGGGUAGCAAACAGGAUUAGAUACCCUGGUAGUCCAUACCGUAAACGAUGAAUGCUAAGUGUUGGAGGGUUUCCGCCCUUCAGUGCUGCAGCUAACGCAUUAAGCAUUCCGCCUGGGGAGUACGGCCGCAAGGCUGAAACUCAAAGGAAUUGACGGGGGCCCGCACAAGCGGUGGAGCAUGUGGUUUAAUUCGAAGCUACGCGAAGAACCUUACCAGGUCUUGACAUACUAUGCAAAUCUAAGAGAUUAGACGUUCCCUUCGGGGACAUGGAUACAGGUGGUGCAUGGUUGUCGUCAGCUCGUGUCGUGAGAUGUUGGGUUAAGUCCCGCAACGAGCGCAACCCUUAUUAUCAGUUGCCAGCAUUAAGUUGGGCACUCUGGUGAGACUGCCGGUGACAAACCGGAGGAAGGUGGGGAUGACGUCAAAUCAUCAUGCCCCUUAUGACCUGGGCUACACACGUGCUACAAUGGAUGGUACAACGAGUUGCGAACUCGCGAGAGUAAGCUAAUCUCUUAAAGCCAUUCUCAGUUCGGAUUGUAGGCUGCAACUCGCCUACAUGAAGUCGGAAUCGCUAGUAAUCGCGGAUCAGCAUGCCGCGGUGAAUACGUUCCCGGGCCUUGUACACACCGCC